RNAcentral lists this ribosomal RNA (469 nucleotides) under uncultured bacterium. Its description in RNAcentral is "partial 16S ribosomal RNA". It matches the Rfam family "Bacterial small subunit ribosomal RNA", at positions 28 to 507 of the family's 1533-position model. The record is from RNAcentral.
GAUGAACGCUGGCGGCGUGCUUAACACAUGCCAGUCGAACGGCGAACACGGAGCUUGCUCUGUGGGAUCAGUGGCGAACGGGUGAGUAACACGUGAGCAACCUGCCCCUGACUCUGGGAUAAGCGCUGGAAACGGCGUCUAAUACUGGAUAUGUGACGUGACCGCAUGGUCUGCGUUUGGAAAGAUUUUUCGGUUGGGGAUGGGCUCGCGGCCUAUCAGCUUGUUGGUGAGGUAAUGGCUCACCAAGGCGUCGACGGGUAGCCGGCCUGAGAGGGUGACCGGCCACACUGGGACUGAGACACGGCCCAGACUCCUACGGGAGGCAGCAGUGGGGAAUAUUGCACAAUGGGCGCAAGCCUGAUGCAGCAACGCCGCGUGAGGGAUGACGGCCUUCGGGUUGUAAACCUCUUUUAGCAGGGAAGAAGCGAAAGUGACGGUACCUGCAGAAAAAGCGCCGGCUAACUACGUG